Molecule: unclassified non-coding RNA, 2682 nt
Filed under: Hevea brasiliensis (rubber tree)
Lineage: Eukaryota; Viridiplantae; Streptophyta; Magnoliopsida; Malpighiales; Euphorbiaceae
Source: RNAcentral
CUUGUUAUUUCUUUGUUUUUAUAUGAUGGAUUUUGAGUUUGAUGUGUUGAAUUUUUUUUUCAUGAUUAUGAGUUUUUUCUUAUAAGCUUAAUAGCUUAUUGAUUUCUAUUUCAGUUUUCUUUUUUGAUGUAUUCUUCCCUUUCCUGCUUAUUUGUAAUGAUCUUCAUUCACUUCCUCUCAUUUUGACACUCCGGUGGGCUUAUGUGUUCACACUCUAGUUUAAUUUUCUGUCCUUUUAGGGUGCAACUUGGGAAUCUUUUACUAAGACAUCAACCAUUGUGCCUAAGAACUCUAUGGGGCAUUUUCAUCGUCUUCCUGCCAAGGUAUCAUCAAUUUCAAACACAAAUGAAAAUAAGGGAGUCAGUAUUAGCAGAUCUCAUGAGGUUCCAGGAAAAUCUAGUACAGAUGGGACAUCUUCAGUUGCUAGGAAAAGCGGAAGUCUAUCCCUUGAUGCUUUAGCAAGAGCUAAAAAAGCUUUACUAAUGCAAAAGGAAACUAACGCAAAAGGAACUGGCAGAGAAGUUGAAAAAGAUAGCACUACGGGGACAAAGUCAAGUGCAUUGGCUGCUGGGAAUCCACCUGCAAGUGGCAUGGAAGGUCUUACUGGGCUUGCCACUACACCUAAUAUUGAAGCUGUUAAAUGUGCUCAAGAGCUUGCUGUUAAAAUGGGAUUCCGGCAGGAUCUUGAGUUUGCUCUUCUUAUAAACUUGUUCCCUGGCCAGAUGCCACCAGAAGUUUCUAUACCUUCCUACCAAGGCCUUUAUUCUCCAUAUACAUGCACUUGGUCAGGAAAUAGAUGAACAUGGAAAUGUAGUGAAUGUGACUAAGCCAAGCAACCCUAGCACCCUAAAAGUUUGUUUUAUUUUUAAAUUUUUGAUAUUAAUUAAUAGUGAUUAGGUUUAUAUUGGUCAAUGCUGUAUUAUUUGGUAUCCAUUUCACAUGCCAUUAUUGCCAUAAACUUUACAGGUUAAUAUUAACAAGCAGAAAAAGGAUGCAUUUCAGAUUCUUAAGCCUAAAUUGGAAGUGGAUCUUGAAUCAAAUCCUCACUUUGAUCAAAGAAUGGGCAUAAAUAAGAAUAAGCUUUUGACGCCCAAGUGGAUGAGUUUCCAGUUUGUAAAGGAAGGAAAAUGGUCAAAGGAAGCUAAAAUGAUUAAAUUGAAGGUGCUGCUUAUUAUGCCUUUACACUUUCAUCACUUCGUUCAUUGUUUACCUGUUUUUGUUGUUUUAUCAUGUGCUAAUUACAGUGUCAAUUUGGAGAAGAAAGGGCAAAAGAUAUGAAGGCAAGGCAAGCACUACAUGCAAAGGCAAAAACAGCUCCUGAUAUAAAUCCCAAUUUGAAAAAGGUAUCAGAGAGAGUUAUAAUUAAAGAAAAGACCAAGGAGCCAAUUCCUGAAAUUGAGUGGUGGGAUGUGCCUCUUCUAUCUAGUGGUACCUGUAGUGAAAUUGAUGAUGGUAUCAUAAGUGAUAAGUUGAAGAUGGAGAAGAUCACAAUCUAUGUAGAACACCCACGUCCCAUUAAGCCCCCUACUGAGUAAGCUCUUCCACCAUCUCAGCCUUUGAAACUAACAAAGAAAGAGUAGAAGAAGCUCCAUACUCAACACCAUUUGGCUCGGGGAAUAGAUAGACAGGAGAUGAAUAGGCAAGGUUUGAUUGAACCCCCAAAGCCUAAAGUGAAAAUGAGUAAUUUAAUGAAAGUCCUUGGCUCUGAAGCUACAUAAGAUCCCACAAAACUUGAGAAGGAAAUAUGUAGUGCAGCUGCUGAGCAUGAGCAAGCUUAUAUUGACAGGUAUAUUGCACGUAAGCUCACUUCUGCUGAGCGCCGUGAGAAGAAGGAGAAGAAGCUCUUUGAUGACCUGAAUAAUAUUGAAACUAUUGUUUCUGUCUAUAAAAUAAAUGAACUGUCACAUGAGAAAACCUGCUUUAAAGUUGAUGUCAAUGCUCAAGAGAACCGUUUGACUGGUUGUGCUGUGAUUUCUGAAGGAGUUAAUGUCGUGGUUGUUGAAGGAGAAAACAAAUUCAUUAAGAGGUAUAGGAAGCUAAUGCUUAGGAGCAUAAACUGGGUUGAGGCUAAAUGGAAGAUGAAGAAGAUGAUGGAGAUGACAAUGAGGAGAAACCUGUGAACAAAUGCAUGUUGGUGUGGCAAAGCAGUGUUGCCAAAUCAAGCUUCAAUGAGUUUUCUGUACACAAGUGUGUAAUAGAAGCUGCUGCUCGGAAAGUGUUUGCUGAUGCUGGUGUUGGCCACUAUUGGGAUCUUGCUGUCAACUUUUCUGAUGAUCUAGUGUUAUUGGCUUCCUUAAUUGAAAAUUUCCUAGUAAUUAGUGAUUUUUCGUUAAGGUUGAGCCUACCUAAAGUGUUUUGGCAGUAAGAGUCAUGAAAUUACUUAGAUGCAACUUUUCAAUUGAUUUCCAUUGGUGAUUUAUUGAUUUAGGAUUUCUGUAAUAUAUAUCUGAGUCAUGGUAUGGAUGGGCUUAGGCAGAAAAAGCAUCAAAGAACCAUGCAAGUUCAAAAGCUAAUGCCCUAUUUUGCAAUUGAAUGGCUCAUUAAGGCCUAGCCUUGUUGGAAUCUGUUGAGCAGGCUAGGAUCAUAAAGGUUCACACCUAUUUUGAAGUUCAGUUCUCACCUAUUUUGAUCUAUCUUGUGCGCUGAUGCUUUAGGCCUUGUAUUGCAAGAGUUCCAUCUUUG